RNAcentral lists this ribosomal RNA (380 nucleotides) under uncultured organism. Its description in RNAcentral is "partial 16S ribosomal RNA". It matches the Rfam family "Bacterial small subunit ribosomal RNA", at positions 527 to 896 of the family's 1533-position model. The record is from RNAcentral.
GUAGGUGGCAAGCGUUGUCCGUGAUUAUUGGGCGUAAAGCGCGCGCAGGUGGUUCUUUAAGUCUGAUGUGAAAGCCCCCCGGGCUCGAACCGGGGAGGGUCAUUAGGAAACGUGGGGAACUUGAGUGCAGGAGAGGAAAGUGGAAUUCCACGUGUAGCGGUGAAAUGCGUAGAUAUGUGGAGGAACACCAGUGGCGAAGGCGACUUUCUGGCCUGUAACUGACACUGAGGCGACGAAAGCGGUGGGGAGACAAACAGGAUUAGAUACCCUGGUAGUCCACGCCGUAAACGAUGAGUGCUAAGUGUUGGGGGGUUUCCGCCCCUCAGUGCUGCAGCUAACGCAUUAAGCACUCCGCCUGGGGAGUACGGUCGCAAAGACUG